RNAcentral lists this ribosomal RNA (468 nucleotides) under uncultured bacterium. RNAcentral's name for it is "partial 16S ribosomal RNA". It matches the Rfam family "Bacterial small subunit ribosomal RNA", at positions 28 to 507 of the family's 1533-position model. The record is from RNAcentral.
GACGAACGCUGGCGGCGUGCUUAACACAUGCAAGUCGAACGGAAAGGCCCUGCUUUUGUGGGGUGCUCGAGUGGCGAACGGGUGAGUAACACGUGAGUAACCUGCCCUUGACUUUGGGAUAACUUCAGGAAACUGGGGCUAAUACCGGAUAGGAGCUCCUGCUGCAUGGUGGGGGUUGGAACGUUUCGGCGGUUGGGGAUGGACUCGCGGCUUAUCAGCUUGUUGGUUGGGUAGUGGCUUACCAAGGCUUUGACGGGUAGCCGGCCUGAGAGGGUGACCGGCCACAUGAGGACUGAGAUACGGCCCAGACUCCUACGGUAGGCAGCAGUGGGAAAUAUUGCACAAUGGGCGGAAGCCUGAUGCAGCAACGCCGCGGGCGGGAUGACGGCCUGCUGGUUGUGAACCGCUUUCGCCUGUGACGAAGCGGGAGUGACGGUAAUGGGUAAAGAAGCACCGGCUAACUACGUG